Molecule: non-coding RNA, 308 nt
Organism: Ceratotherium simum simum (southern white rhinoceros)
Lineage: Eukaryota; Metazoa; Chordata; Mammalia; Perissodactyla; Rhinocerotidae
Source: RefSeq, a predicted model, not a curated record
AGAAGCCAGAUGGGAGAUACUAGAGCAUGCUUGGGUGUUAGAGGGAAUGAUCUGGUAGAAAAAGAAGGAGAGAUUGAUGCAAGAGAGAAGGGAUAAUAGGAGUGUGAAGUCUGAGACGGUGGGAGGACAGUGCCCAAGUGCAGGGUCACUUCUUCCGUUCUCAUGGGAGAGCAGGAGGUGGUAAGUCAGCAUUUGAUGGCCUCUGUUGUAUUUUCUAGAGGAAGCAUUGGUGGAGCCAUCAGUUGCGAGUAUUUAUAGUUAGUGAAUACUAUACUAUGGCAGGUUAAAGAUAUAGUAGAGAGAGAGAC